AACGAACGCUGGCGGCAGGCCUAACACAUGCAAGUCGAACGCCGUAGCAAUACGGAGUGGCAGACGGGUGAGUAACGCGUGGGAACAUACCCCUCGGUUCGGAAUAACUCAGGGAAACUUGAGCUAAUACCGGAUACGUCCAAGGUUUUAAUCGACCUUGGAGAAAGAUUUAUCGCCGGAGGAUUGGCCCGCGUCUGAUUAGCUUGUUGGUGAGGUAAUGGCUCACCAAGGCGACGANCAGUAGCUGGUCUGAGAGGAUGAUCAGCCACAUUGGGACUGAGACACGGCCCAAACUCCUACGGGAGGCAGCAGGUGGGGAAUAUUGGACAAUGGGCGUAAGCCUGAUCCAGCCAUGCCGCGUGAGUGAUGAAGGCCUUAGGGUUGUAAAGCUCUUUACCCGGGAAGAUAAUGACGGUACC
RNAcentral lists this ribosomal RNA (419 nucleotides) under uncultured bacterium. RNAcentral describes it as "bacterial SSU rRNA". It matches the Rfam family "Bacterial small subunit ribosomal RNA", at positions 29 to 479 of the family's 1533-position model. The record is from RNAcentral.